ACUUCGGAAGCUCCCUCGAACGGGAUCCCGAAGCGGGUGCGAGGCCCGUACCGAGGUCGCGCCCGUCGGUUUGAGCCUCCGUAGAGUCGGGUUACUUGAGAGUGUAGCCCAAAGCGGAAGGUAAACCCCUUCUAAGGCUAAAUACGACCGCGAGACCGAUAGCGAACAAGUACCGCGAGGGAAAGUUGAAAAGAACUUUGAAGAGAGAGUUCAAAAGGGCGUGAAACCGCUUAGAAGAAAACGGACGGAACCGUCUGACGCCCUCGGGAAUCAGUCGAACGACGCGCGAACGCGUCUCGAUCGUCGGAGCGUAAAAGUCCGGCUCGAGGCGUCUAGUAGUCGCGUUCGUAAGGCGCAUUUCUCGAGGGUUAGCGCCGCGACCGAUGCGAACGGCCGACGACGCCGUCGAGUUGAGGUCGAACGCCCUUCGCGGGUAUUCGUAACCAGCUCGUUCGGUAGACGUAUAUAUUGUCGGAUCUAUAGGAGCAUCGAGCGAAUACUAUAAAUACGUCGGCGUAAAACGCUCGACGAGCGGCGGAGACUCGGCCAGUCGUUCGGUACCUGCUCGCAGGUGCUCGUUCGGCGCGAGGUCGUUUCCCGAUGUCGCCGUCGACGCUACCGACGUUUAGGCGUCCGCGGCGUCCGAGUCGGCCACCCGUCCGACCCGUCUUGAAACACGGACCAAGGAGUCUAACGUACGCGCGAGUUAAUGGGUGGAAAACCCAUAAGCGCAAUAAAAGUAAAAGUCGUCCUAAGACGGCCGAGGUACGAUCCUAGACUACGCGUCUAGGCGCAGUACCGUCCCGUCCCGACCGCACGUCGGUAGGGCGGAGAUUGAGCGCGUUCGUUGGGACCCGAAAGAUGGUGAACUAUGCCUGAGCAGAGCGAAGCCAGAGGAAACUCUGGUGGAGGUUCGUAGCGGUUCUGACGUGCAAAUCGAUCGUCAGACUUGGGUAUAGGGGCGAAAGACUAAUCGAACCAUCUAGUAGCUGGUUCCCCCUGAAGUUUCCCUCAGGAUAGCUGAUACUCGUUACGAUAUAACGAAGUUUUAUCCGGUAAAGCGAAUGAUUAGAGGAAUUGGGGACGAAAUGACCUCAACCUAUUCUCAAACUUUAAAUGGGUAAGAAGUCGAGCUUGCUCGAUCGAAGCCCGACUCUCGAGAAUUCGAGUAUCAAGUGGGCCAUUUUUGGUAAGCAGAACUGGCGCUGCGGGAUGAACCGAACGGCGAGGUAAGGCGCCGGAAUAAACGCUCAUAAGAGCCCAGGAAAGGUGUUAGUUGAUAUAGACAGCAGGACGGUGGCCAUGGAAGUCGGAACCCGCUAAGGAGUGUGUAACAACUCACCUGCCGAAUCAACUAGCCCUGAAAAUGGAUGGCGCUCGAGCGUUUUGCCCAUACUCGCCCGCUUUCGACAGA
Molecule: ribosomal RNA, 1414 nt
Filed under: Xiphinema primum
Lineage: Eukaryota; Metazoa; Nematoda; Enoplea; Dorylaimida; Longidoridae
Description: partial 28S ribosomal RNA
Rfam family: Eukaryotic large subunit ribosomal RNA
Source: RNAcentral